Molecule: ribosomal RNA, 492 nt
Filed under: uncultured bacterium
Lineage: Bacteria
Description: partial 16S ribosomal RNA
Rfam family: Bacterial small subunit ribosomal RNA
Source: RNAcentral
AGUGAACGCUGGCGGUAGGCCUAACACAUGCAAGUCGAACGGCAGCACAGUAAGAGCUUGCUCUUACGGGUGGCGAGUGGCGGACGGGUGAGGCAUACAUCGGAAUCUACUUUUUCGUGGGGGAUAACGUAGGGAAACUUACGCUAAUACCGCAUACGACCUACGGGUGAAAGCAGGGGAUCUUCGGACCUUGCGCGAUUGAAUGAGCCGAUGUCGGAUUAGCUAGUUGGCGGGGUAAAGGCCCACCAAGGCGACGAUCCGUAGCUGGUCUGAGAGGAUGAUCAGCCACACUGGAACUGAGACACGGUCCAGACUCCUACGGGAGGCAGCAGUGGGGAAUAUUGGACAAUGGGCGAAAGCCUGAUCCAGCCAUACCGCGUGAGUGAAGAAGGCCUUCGGGUUGUAAAGCCCUGUUGUUGGGAAAGAAAAGCAGCAGGUUAAUACCCCGCUGUUCUGACGGUACCCAAAGAAUAAGCACCGGCUAACUUCGUG